AAAAAACAGGAACCGGUACAAACCAGUGUUAAUAUAAACCUUGAAUUAUAUUUCUUUUGAUAUAUACUACCUUAGAAAAUAGACAAAAUUUGAUCUAUUUUGGUCAGGACAAACGUGUCUUGGUCAUUCAUAUCUCUUAUAUAAUAUUUAUAAAAACACCUGUCUAUGAGCUAACCAAAUAUUUCAUACAGAAUAACAUUGAUUGCCAACUGUCACCAUGUUAAACAAUAAUAUAUCUAUCUAGAAAAACGGUAUCCAGGAACAAAAAUCAUAAAAUUUUAUUUGAAACACUCUUAUGUAUAUAAUCCAAAAUAACAGAACAAGGCUGGAUUUAUGCACCCUGUCUAUGUUUGGCAACAUUCAUGCACCAGUGUAGAUAUAACUUUAUAUAUACAUGAUAGCUGAGCCAGUAAAUGGUGGUCUGCCAUAUACAUUAUUUCUAUAGGGUAUCAAAUUUGAUGUCAAAUGAAGGAAAUAUAAAAAAACUUUUUUCUCCAUAGAGACAUUCUAAUCACCUACCGGUAUGAGGUAUACUUUAAGACCUAUUCUUAUACCUACAAAGUAUACACAAAAAAAUUCACAUAAAUCCGGGGAGCAGUUUCAGAGGAGUGACUCAAAUGAACAUUUUAAAAUUGGUAAUUGAACAAUGUCAGGUUUUCACUUGGAAUUUGUGGAUGUUGAUGUAUGAGAUUCCCCUUUUUGUGGAAGAAGAAAUUCAGCAUAAAUAUUUGGUUUUUUAUUACCAUUUCCAUACCCUAUCAUAAUAAUGUGAUAAUAUAAAUUGUACAAUGCAACUUUCAGUGUUGCAAUAAAAGUUUGUAUAAUUUCAA
Leptinotarsa decemlineata (Colorado potato beetle) is the source of this 830-nucleotide long non-coding RNA. Lineage: Eukaryota; Metazoa; Arthropoda; Insecta; Coleoptera; Chrysomelidae. The record is from RefSeq and is a predicted model, not a curated record.